RNAcentral lists this ribosomal RNA (465 nucleotides) under uncultured bacterium. RNAcentral describes it as "bacterial SSU rRNA". It matches the Rfam family "Bacterial small subunit ribosomal RNA", at positions 337 to 794 of the family's 1533-position model. The record is from RNAcentral.
GCCUACGGGGCGCAGCAGUGGGGAAUUUUGGACAAUGGGGGCAACCCUGAUCCAGCCAUGCCGCGUGAGUGAAGAAGGCCUUCGGGUUGUAAAGCUCUUUCAGGUGGAAAGAAAUCGCAUCUUUUAAUACAGGGUGUGGAUGACGGUACCAUCAGAAGAAGCACCGGCUAACUACGUGCCAGCAGCCGCGGUAAUACGUAGGGUGCGAGCGUUAAUCGGAAUUACUGGGCGUAAAGCGUGCGCAGGCGGUUAUGUAAGACAGAUGUGAAAUCCCCGGGCUCAACCUGGGAACUGCGUUUGUGACUGCAUAACUAGAGUACGGCAGAGGGAGGUGGAAUUCCGCGUGUAGCAGUGAAAUGCGUAGAGAUGCGGAGGAACACCGAUGGCGAAGGCAGCCUCCUGGGCCAGUACUGACGCUCAUGCACGAAAGCGUGGGGAGCAAACAGGAUUAGAUACCCUGGUAGU